Molecule: ribosomal RNA, 481 nt
Filed under: uncultured bacterium
Lineage: Bacteria
Description: partial 16S ribosomal RNA
Rfam family: Bacterial small subunit ribosomal RNA
Source: RNAcentral
ACUCAAAGGAAUAGACGGGGACCCGCACAAGCAGCGGAGCGUGUGGUUUAAUUCGAUGCGACGCGAAGCACCUUACCUGGGUUCAAUUGGAAAUGCACCGGGGGUAAUGCCCCGUCCGCGCAAGCGGCGUUUCUGACGGUGCUGCAUGGCUGUCGUCAGCUCGUGCCGUGAGGUGUUGGGUUAAGUCCCCUAACGAGCGCAACCCCCGUGGACGGUUAUACCUCCGUUCAGACUGCCGCGCACAACGCGGAGGAAGGUGGGGAUGACGUCAAGUCAGCACGGCCCUUACGCCCAGGGCAACACACACGCUACAAUGGUCGGGACAGCGGGCAGCGACACGGCGACGUGAAGCGAAUCCCUUAAACCCGGCCUCAGUUCGGAUGGUAGGCUGCAACUCGCCUGCCUGAAGUCGGAGUUGCUAGUAACCGCAGGUCAGCACACUGCGGUGAAUACGUUCCCGGGUCUUGCACACACCGCCCGU